GAACGAACGCUGGCGGCGUGCCUAACACAUGCAAGUCGAACGCGAAAGUCCUUCGGGAUGAGUAAAGUGGCGCACGGGUGAGUAACACGUAGGUGACCUUCCGUUUAGAGGGGAAUAACCAGAAGAAAUUUUGGCUAAUGCCGCAUACGAAGUACAAAUUUUAAAGUAGUACUUGAAAGAUUGCCUCUGUAUAUGCAAUCACUAAACGAUGGGCCUGCGGUACAUUAGCUAGUUGGUGGGGUAACGGCCUACCAAGGCAACGAUGUAUAUCCGGUCUGAGAGGAUGAUCGGACACACUGGAACUGAGACACGGUCCAGACUCCUACGGGAGGCAGCAGUGGGGAAUAUUGCGCAAUGGGGGAAACCCUGGCGCAGCAACGCCGCGUGAGUGAGGAAGGACUUCGGUCUGUAAAGCUCUGUUAAUGUGGAAAAAUGGUGUAUGGUCUAAUAGGCCGUACAUUUGAUGGUACACAUAGAGGAAGCACCGGCUAACUUCGUGCCAGCAGCCGCGGUAAUACGAAGGGUGCAAGCGUUGUUCGGAUUUAUUGGGCGUAAAGCGCGCGUAGGCGGACCUUUAAGUCAGAUGUGAAAUCUCGGGGCUCAACCUCGAAACUGCGUCUGAAACUGAGGGUCUAGAAUCUUGGAGGGGGAAGGGGAAUUUCACAUGUAGGGGUAAAAUCCGUAGAUAUGUGAAGGAACACCAGAGGCGAAGGCGCCUUCCUGGACAAGUAUUGACGCUGAGGCGCGAAAGCGUGGGGAUCAAACAGGAUUAGAUACCCUGGUAGUCCACGCUGUAAACGAUGAAUACUAGAUAUUGGGGGAUUUGACCCCUUCAGUGUCGUAGCUAACGCGUUAAGUAUUCCG
RNAcentral lists this ribosomal RNA (864 nucleotides) under uncultured bacterium. Its description in RNAcentral is "bacterial SSU rRNA". It matches the Rfam family "Bacterial small subunit ribosomal RNA", at positions 27 to 871 of the family's 1533-position model. The record is from RNAcentral.